UUGAUUAUGCUGAAUUCUGUUCUUACUUACAGAGCGAGAGGGCGAGGAGAAUAUUUGUAAGAAGAUCUGGCAGCCAGGGCAAUGCUCUUCGUUAUUAACAAAAUACACAUACGAUAAGGACUCGGGAUCCUGCCAGCCGAUGUUAUAUAACGGUUGCCUGGGAAACAGGAACAGUUUCGACUCCAUACAUGAAUGUACAGCAGCAUGCAUCGUUGAACGAAGAAGACGAUCUGUUAGAAAUUCUACACAAGAACAAAAACCUAAACACUUAAAAGAUCUCCUUCACAAGAGUUUCCACCAUAUUAGAAGACACGUUAGCUAUAAAUAGAUCACCAUAGUAACCAUUACCAUAGCAACAAGGAGAAUAUGCUGCCGAAGGUGGCGCUCCGUUGUCAAAGUUUUAUUCUUGUAAAGAUUUAUACGGACUGUAGUCAAAGGUUAAGGAACAUUGACUGAUACAUGUAUUUUUGUUUUAAAAGAAGAAUAUAUAAAUUCAUAAAUUAGAGAGAUAAUAUAGAUUUCGAGAGCCUGAGACGAAAAAUUAAGGAGGCUCCAAACUUAAAAAAUAAGUGAUUUCCAAAAUCACAGAAUGAUUUAAUUUUAUUAAGAAGAUAUUUCUCUUUGAAUAAUAUUUUAAUUGAAUUAUUUUAAUUUGCAUACAUUGAAGCGGUUAUAGUAGAUGACACAGUCGUCGAAAUGUAAUCGAUUUAUAUUCGUUGAUCGUUUAGCGAUGUAUUAUCGAUUCACUGAAUAGAAGUCAAUUUUACAUUGAAAAUAUCAAUCAAUUAUUGUGCAUGCGAUAAAGUGGUGCAAAUUUAGAGUACGUCUUCCACUUUGUAAAAUGAUGUUAUGUAGUUAUGAUUGUUUUUAAAUUCAUUACUAGAAUACAAACACUUAAAAUGUAAAACAAGACUACAACAAAAUAGUGCUAAAUUACUAUUUAUCGUUUUCUAUUGUUUAUUUUGCACUAUUUUCAACUAAAUAGUAAAGCUUAACGUUGUACGUUUUGAGUGUUUGUAUUAUAGUAAAUUGCUAAAAUAUAGAGUGUAGAUGAUAUGUUGUCUAGUUAAGUCUUUUUAAAUAAAGUGGAACUGUUAGUUCAUU
Long non-coding RNA from Exaiptasia diaphana, 1104 nucleotides. RefSeq lists it as uncharacterized. Lineage: Eukaryota; Metazoa; Cnidaria; Anthozoa; Actiniaria; Aiptasiidae. The record is from RefSeq and is a predicted model, not a curated record. The transcript has 2 exons.